UACGUAGGGGGCAAGCGUUGUCCGGAUUUAUUGGGCGUAAAGAGCGUGUAGGCGGCCAGGUAGGUGGGUUGUGAAAACUGGAGGCUCAACCUCCAGACGUCGAUGGAAACCGUCUGGCUAGAGUCCGGAAGAGGAGAGUGGAAUUCCUGGUGUAGCGGUGAAAUGCGCAGAUAUCAGGAAGAACACCCGUGGCGAAAGCGGCUCUCUGGGACGGUACUGACGCUGAGACGCGAAAGCGUGGGGAGCGAACAGG
Molecule: ribosomal RNA, 253 nt
Filed under: uncultured bacterium
Lineage: Bacteria
Description: partial 16S ribosomal RNA
Rfam family: Bacterial small subunit ribosomal RNA
Source: RNAcentral